AAGACUGGGGUGGGGCU
This 17-nucleotide microRNA is filed under the name Corchorus olitorius. RNAcentral describes it as "hsa-miR-44". The record is from RNAcentral. Lineage: Eukaryota; Viridiplantae; Streptophyta; Magnoliopsida; Malvales; Malvaceae.